GUCAGGAUGGCCGAGUGGUCUAAGGCGCCAGACUCAAGCUUCUGCUUCCCACGCUCGGGGUUUCCAGUCUCCAGAUGGAGCCGUGGGUUCAAAUCCUACUUCUGACA
RNAcentral lists this transfer RNA (107 nucleotides) under Loxodonta africana (African savanna elephant). It matches the Rfam family "tRNA". Rfam says of the family: Transfer RNA (tRNA) molecules are approximately 80 nucleotides in length. Their secondary structure includes four short double-helical elements and three loops (D, anti-codon, and T loops). Lineage: Eukaryota; Metazoa; Chordata; Mammalia; Proboscidea; Elephantidae. The record is from Rfam by way of RNAcentral.